AUUGAACGCUGGCGGCAUGCCUUACACAUGCAAGUCGAACGGCAGCACGGGAGCAAUCCUGGUGGCGAGUGGCGAACGGGUGAGUAAUAUAUCGGAACGUGCCCAGUCGUGGGGGAUAACGUAGCGAAAGCUACGCUAAUACCGCAUACGAUCUACGGAUGAAAGCGGGGGAUCGCAAGACCUCGCGCGAUUGGAGCGGCCGAUAUCAGAUUAGGUAGUUGGUGAGGUAAAGGCUCACCAAGCCGACGAUCUGUAGCUGGUCUGAGAGGACGACCAGCCACACUGGGACUGAGACACGGCCCAGACUCCUACGGGAGGCAGCAGUGGGGAAUUUUUGGGACAAUGGGCGCAAGCCUGAUCCAGCAAUGCCGCGUGCAGGAUGAAGGCC
RNAcentral lists this ribosomal RNA (388 nucleotides) under uncultured bacterium. RNAcentral describes it as "bacterial SSU rRNA". It matches the Rfam family "Bacterial small subunit ribosomal RNA", at positions 29 to 416 of the family's 1533-position model. The record is from RNAcentral.